Molecule: unclassified non-coding RNA, 345 nt
Filed under: soil metagenome
Description: partial contains 5.8S ribosomal RNA, internal transcribed spacer 2, and large subunit ribosomal RNA
Rfam family: 5.8S ribosomal RNA (bases 1-120)
Source: RNAcentral
GAUGAAGAACGCAGCGAAAUGCGAUACGUAAUGUGAAUUGCAGAAUUCAGUGAAUCAUCGAGUCUUUGAACGCACAUUGCGCCCCCUGGUAUUCCGGGGGGCAUGCCUGUCCGAGCGUCAUUGCUGCCCUCAAGCACGGCUUGUGUGUUGGGCCUCCGUCCUCCUCCCGGGGGACGGGCCCGAAAGGCAGCGGCGGCACCGCGUCCGGUCCUCGAGCGUAUGGGGCUUCGUCACCCGCUCUCGUAGGCCCGGCCGGCGCUUGCCGACACAUCAAUCUUUUUUCCAGGUUGACCUCGGAUCAGGUAGGGAUACCCGCUGAACUUAAGCAUAUCAAUAAGCGGAGGA